Molecule: transfer RNA, 75 nt
Filed under: Otolemur garnettii (small-eared galago)
Lineage: Eukaryota; Metazoa; Chordata; Mammalia; Primates; Galagidae
Rfam family: tRNA
About the family: Transfer RNA (tRNA) molecules are approximately 80 nucleotides in length. Their secondary structure includes four short double-helical elements and three loops (D, anti-codon, and T loops).
Source: Rfam by way of RNAcentral
GUUAAGAUGGUAGAGCCUGGUAAUUGUAUAAAACUUAAAAUUUACAAAUCAGAGGUUCAACUCCUCUUCUUAACA